UGGGGAAUAUUGCACAAUGGGCGAAAGCCUGAUGCAGCAACGCCGCGUGAGUGAUGAAGGUCUUCGGAUUGUAAAGCUCUGUCUUUUGGGACGAUAAUGACGGUACCAAAGGAGGAAGCCACGGCUAACUACGUGCCAGCAGCCGCGGUAAUACGUAGGUGGCGAGCGUUGUCCGGAUUUACUGGGCGUAAAGGGUGCGUAGG
RNAcentral lists this ribosomal RNA (203 nucleotides) under uncultured bacterium. RNAcentral's name for it is "partial 16S ribosomal RNA". It matches the Rfam family "Bacterial small subunit ribosomal RNA", at positions 355 to 575 of the family's 1533-position model. The record is from RNAcentral.